CCCCUAGAUGUUCUGGGCCGCACGCGCGCUACACUGAACAGUUCAACAAGUCUUAACCUUGGCCGAUAGGUCUGGGUAAUCUUUGAACGCUGUUCGUGAUUGGGAUAGACCUUUGCAAUUAUGGGUCUUCAACGAGGAAUUCCUAGUAAACGCAAGUCAUCAGCUUGCAUUGAUUCCGUCCCUGCCCUUUGUACACACCGCCCGUCGCACCUACCGAUUGAAUGGUCCGGUGAAAUCUCGGGACGGCGGCUUGGUCGCUUGCGUCCGACUGCUGAAACUUGAUUAAACCAUAUCAUUUAGAGGAAGGUGAAGUCGUAACA
RNAcentral lists this ribosomal RNA (320 nucleotides) under uncultured eukaryote. Its description in RNAcentral is "partial 18S ribosomal RNA". It matches the Rfam family "Eukaryotic small subunit ribosomal RNA", at positions 1470 to 1796 of the family's 1831-position model. The record is from RNAcentral.